RNAcentral lists this ribosomal RNA (475 nucleotides) under uncultured bacterium. Its description in RNAcentral is "bacterial SSU rRNA". It matches the Rfam family "Bacterial small subunit ribosomal RNA", at positions 34 to 507 of the family's 1533-position model. The record is from RNAcentral.
CGCUGGCGGCGUGCUUAAUACAUGCAAGUCAACUUGACUUUAGAUAGCAAUAUCGAAAAGUAGGGUGGCGCACGGGUGCGUAACGCGUAGGUAAUCUGCCCCGAGGUCUGACAUAACCCGUCGAAAGGCGGGCUAACAUCAGAUGAUAUAUAAUCACGACAUCGUGGAAAUAUCAAAUCUUCGGAGCCUUGGGAUGAGCCUGCGUCUGAUUAGGUAGUUGGCGGAGUAAUAGCCCACCAAGCCUACGAUCAGUAGCUGGUCUGAGAGGAUGAUCAGCCACACUGGAACUGAGACACGGUCCAGACUCCUACGGGAGGCAGCAGUAAGGAAUAUUGCUCAAUGGGGGGAAACCCUGAAGCAGCAACGCCGCGUGAAGGAUGAAAUACUUUUGUAUGUAAACUUCUGUAAGAUGGGAAAAAUAUUCUCCUCGGGAGAAUUGAUUGUACCAUCAGAGUAAGCCCCGGCUAACUACGUG